UACGUAGGUGGCGAGCGUUGUCCGGAAUGACUGGGCGUAAAGGGAGCGUAGGUUGCGAUUUAAGUUAGGUGUGAAAGGUCAAGGCUCAACCUUGGAACUGCAUUUAAAACUGGAUUGCUAGAGUACAGGAGGGGUAAGCGGAAUUCCUAGUGUAGCGGUGGAAUGCGUAGAUAUUAGGAAGAACACCGGAGGCGAAGGCGGCUUACUGGACUGCAACUGACACUGAGGCUCGAAAGCGUGGGGAGCAAACAGG
This 253-nucleotide ribosomal RNA is filed under the name uncultured bacterium. Its description in RNAcentral is "partial 16S ribosomal RNA". It matches the Rfam family "Bacterial small subunit ribosomal RNA", at positions 524 to 776 of the family's 1533-position model. The record is from RNAcentral.